Molecule: long non-coding RNA, 1258 nt
Organism: Salvia miltiorrhiza (redroot sage)
Lineage: Eukaryota; Viridiplantae; Streptophyta; Magnoliopsida; Lamiales; Lamiaceae
Exons: 3
Source: RefSeq, a predicted model, not a curated record
UAUUUUUUCUAAAUUUUUAAUCAAUAAAUUUCUAUAUAAACAAAUUUCUAUAUCUAAUUUCUUAUACAUUAAUUAUAUCCCAAUCAUACAUAUCUAAAAUAAUGAAUCUCGAGCUGCUGCACAAGAUCAUAUAUAUCUAAAAUAAUGAACCAAGAUAAACUCCAAUCAACCAGAAAAGCACGCAGCACACCAAGUGCUCGACGGAAAGACUGAACGAAAACUAUAAUCUUUAUCUCUUCCUCUUAAUUUUAUUUUCAAUCUUUAUCUCUUUCUCUAAAUUUUAAUUAUUAUUAUGUAUUUGAUCAACAUCACAAUUAUUAACAAAUUAUAGAUAGACUCAAAUUCUUAGAUAAAUCCUAUCAAAGGUAGAAUUCUUUCUCAAAUUGACAAUCUUAUAUUUCAUCUAUAAAAAGAAUCGGUUCUCCUUUCUUUCUCCUAUUCUGCUUUCUUUCUCCACUGAUCGGUUCUGCUUUGUUUCUCCUGUUCUGCUUUCGACUGAUAGUAACUCAACUUGGGGAACGCGUAAUUGAAGGCAAACUCAUUUCAGGAAAAAAUUCGGGCAAGAAGUUUCCAAUAGCUAGAAUGAUUAUGAGUCCAUCAGAUUUCGCUAAAUUUCCAAUUCGGUUUCAGAGAAGGCAAUUUCCUGUGAGUGUUUGUUUUGCUAUGACAAUAAAUAAAAGCCAGGGACAAUCUCUUUCAAAUGUAGGAUUAUACCUACCGAAACCAGUUUUUAGUCAUGGACAACUCUACGUGGCAAUCUCAAGAGUCACUAGAAAAAGAGGUUUAAAGAUUUUAGUAUGUGAUGAGAGUGGUCAUACGCAAGACACAACAACUAAUGUUGUGUAUGAUGAAAUUUUCGAUAGAUUAUGAGGUUGAUUUGAUAUGUGCGUGCUGCUUGUGAUUGGAGGGAAGAAAGGUACAAUAAAUCACAUCAUAUUUUUUCAUGUUCAUAGAUAAAAUAUGUUAUAUAAGGAUGGUUGAGCCGAGUCGGUUUGGGGACGAUGGUUAGGCCGGAGUUCUUGAAACUGACCUUCCCGCUCUUCUUUCCUUUCCUUUUUGUUUUCGUUUUAGACGAGUACUCUUUUUUCCUUCUACGGUUUUUCCUACCGGGUUUUCCGUAAAAGGGUUUUAAUGAGGCUCGGCCCUUAGUCUGUUUCUUUUGUACUUUCAAGGGUUUCUUAGGUUUUUCUUUUCUUUUAUACAUAAUAGCAUGAGGAUGGAUAUAUUUCGUCUUUUACUGUAUCAUGUUUCGGCUUCA